GAUCAUGGCUCAGGAUAAACGCUGGCGGCACACAUAAGACAUGCAAGUCGAACGGAAGCCGUUAUAAAAAGGAUUGAAGAUUUAUCUGAUUGAGAUUUUGUAACAAUGGCUUUAGUGGCGGACUGGUGAGUAACGCGUGAGCAACCUGCAUACUAGAGGGGAAUAACAGUGAGAAAUCAUUGCUAAUACCGCAUAUGCCAUGAACAUCACAUGAUGAAAAUAGG
This 224-nucleotide ribosomal RNA is filed under the name uncultured bacterium. RNAcentral's name for it is "partial 16S ribosomal RNA". It matches the Rfam family "Bacterial small subunit ribosomal RNA", at positions 15 to 202 of the family's 1533-position model. The record is from RNAcentral.